GUGGGCAUGGCUCAGUGGUAGAGCUCAUGCUUAGCACGCAUGAGGUCCUGGGUUCAAUCCCCAGUCCCUCUG
RNAcentral lists this transfer RNA (72 nucleotides) under Camelus bactrianus (Bactrian camel). It matches the Rfam family "tRNA". Rfam says of the family: Transfer RNA (tRNA) molecules are approximately 80 nucleotides in length. Their secondary structure includes four short double-helical elements and three loops (D, anti-codon, and T loops). RNAcentral also lists the same sequence under 2 other names. Lineage: Eukaryota; Metazoa; Chordata; Mammalia; Artiodactyla; Camelidae. The record is from Rfam by way of RNAcentral.